UUAAAUAAAAAUCGGGGUUGUUGCUGCCUUUCGUGGUGACGCGUCGGAAUUGAGUCUUCUUAUCUUUGGUUAAGUGACUUAAAAUUUUUAUGAUUUUCGAACGUAUUUAAAUUGCUUACGUACGUUUGAGAUAUCGAAUAUUUUAUUAGGUUCGGUCAUCCUUAUGACUCGCGUCUAUAAUUUUUUCAUU
This 190-nucleotide unclassified non-coding RNA is filed under the name uncultured Glomeraceae. RNAcentral's name for it is "sequence contains ITS2". The record is from RNAcentral. Lineage: Eukaryota; Fungi; Glomeromycota; Glomeromycetes; Glomerales; Glomeraceae.